CCGCCUAGGGAGGCAGCAGUGAGGAAUAUUGGUCAAUGGGCGGGAGCCUGAACCAGCCAAGUCGCGUGAGGGAAGACGGUCCUAUGGAUUGUAAACCUCUUUUGUCGGGGAGCAAAGAGGCCUCGUGAGGUCAAAAGCGAGAGUACCCGAAGAAAAAGCAUCGGCUAACUCCGUGCCAGCAGCCGCGGUAAUACGGAGGAUGCGAGCGUUAUCCGGAUUUAUUGGGUUUAAAGGGUGCGUAGGCGGGACGGUAAGUCAGCGGUAAAAAUGCGGAGCUCAACUCCGUCGAGCCGUUGAAACUGCCG
This 305-nucleotide ribosomal RNA is filed under the name uncultured bacterium. RNAcentral describes it as "bacterial SSU rRNA". It matches the Rfam family "Bacterial small subunit ribosomal RNA", at positions 335 to 638 of the family's 1533-position model. The record is from RNAcentral.